Molecule: long non-coding RNA, 3922 nt
Organism: Stegodyphus dumicola
Lineage: Eukaryota; Metazoa; Arthropoda; Arachnida; Araneae; Eresidae
Source: RefSeq, a predicted model, not a curated record
CAGAAUUGUUUUUUAUGGAUCCGCAGUCUACAUUUUCUUUCUUUCUCUCUCUCUUUUUUGGAGGGAGGGGUUGUCUAAUUCAGAAAUUCACAUUUUUGGAUGAGUCCCCUCUUUGUUAAAGAAAGGAUUCAGUCACACAGUUUCUCUCGCGGAGCUCCUAGCGAUGUUGUUCUGAACAUAAAGGACUUUCUUAUGGAACUUUAAAAAUGUCUUUAGAUAUUGCUUAUUUUGAUCUCGUACUUUAUACAUCGCUGAAUCUAAUUUUUCUUACGGGGUUUUAAUUACAUCUAAUUACCUCGAAAAUUUCAUUAUCUAAGGAAUAUUAAAAAGAAUCCAAGACUAAGUGCUGCUAAACGUGGGGCAGAACUUCGUAAAUUAUAUGGAAUUUGUGUAAAUCCAGAAACUAUAAGAAAAAUAAUGCGAUUUGCAGGAUAUCACGGGCGAGCAGCAAGAAAAAAUUUUAUAUCCGUAAAAACAAUCGAAAACUUCGACUCUCUUUUGCAAAAUCGAUGAAACAAAAGAUACCCGACUGCUGGAAAAAUGCAUCGUUUGUUGAAGAAAGCAAAUUUAAUAUCUUCGGCUCAGAUGGACGAGUGCUGGUGUGGAGGAAACCCAAAGAAGAAUUUCGGAAGCAAAACUUAAUACCAACCGUUUAAACAAGGCCGAGGAGGAGCUAUGGCAUGGGAAUAUAUGGCAUACUCCGGAGUUGGUAUUCUAGAGUUUAUACAUGGUAUCAUGGAUCAGUAUAAGUAUCUUGACAUUUUGAAGAGAAAUAUGGCAUCGUAAACACAAAAACGUAAUACAGAAUAGUUUUAAAUUCUACCAGGACAAUGAUCUAAAGCAAUAUUAGACUCUGGCUGUUAUAUAAGUAUCCAGAAGUAAUUAAGACACCACCCCAAGCGCCAAAUCUUAAUCCUAUUGAACAUAUUUGGCAGGACAAAAAUUCGAAAACAGAGCAUAUCUUCGCGAAAACAGCUGAAAGCAUUGAUUCAAGAAAAGUUGUAUGAAAUAAGUCCAGAAAUGAUAAGAAAAACAUGUGGAACCAAUGCUCGAAAGAUUAAAUGUAGUGAUCAAGUGUAAAGGUGAUCUCACAAAAUAUUAAGGUGCAAAAAAAAAGUUUGGUCAUUUUUAGCUUUUAUUAAAAGUGUCCGAUUAUGUUUGUGAGAAUAUUUCUCAUUAUUAAACAAACAAUUUUUUUGAAAAUUAUUUUUGGAAAUUUUGGAAAAUUUGGAUUAUUAAACAAACUAUUAGUUUUGGAAUAUAAUCUUAAUCUCUUCGAAAAUGUAUUUACCGUAAAAGAAUGUUGAAUUUACAUAUAAUCCAAAUAAAAGCAUUUCUUUUUGUUUUAAUUUAUUUUAGUUUCUAUGUUCAUUAAAGUAUACAAAAAUUCAAAGCCCCCCCCGAUCAUUUUAGUGAAUCACUGUAUUUCUUUCCUUUAUGAUGGUAUCACGAAGAAUUCACCACAGUUCAUGCAUAAAGUGUGAGUUUCAGCUGAGACUCGAACACAGAAUUUCCCAUUCCGCGAACAGGCUGCUGGUUUCGGAGGAUUUAUUCAAAUUUAGGAACCAGUGUCGUAUCUUUUAAGAAUAAAACUGCAGACUUUAACCUUCAACAGGAAGGGCUUUUAAUUUAGGCAAAUAAGAUCCGGUCAAUGAAAAAAGCUUUAAAUUCAUAAUUUAACUAAAGGCGCUCUUAUGCAAAUGAAAUUAGUGUAAAAAAUAACUUUGCCGAGUUUACCUGAACAGAUUUUAACUAUCUUUUGGUCUUCAGUAGUGACUAGAAACCAACUAAGACCAUCCUAAAUUUCUGAUAUUAAUGAAAAAUAAAGAGAUUAUUAAUGUAAGCAAUCAUUUCAAUAGAUUAAUUACAACUACGUGAAUUUAGUUGUGAUUUUUAAUUAAGAAUUUCCGAGAAUUGAAAAUUAUUUAUAAAGCACUGCUGUUAUUUUUAAUGCAGCAAUUUUAUUUUUUUCAUUUGAAUUUUUCGAAGUUCUUCAAUUCCUGUUCUACUGGUUGAACUAAAACUGUGAAAUGUUUUCAGUAGUAUCACCUUUCAGAUGAUAUUCGACUUCUGAAGCCUAAACUGAACGAAACAGAAAUGUAAACACAAAGCUGCUGUUGAAUAUUUUAUAACUUCUAUUGUGAAUUACAUGAACAGGUAGUAUGUAUACACGAUAUAGUAUCUUCCAUUAUUACUAUCUUAAAACUCAUUUCAUUAUCAGGCAAAUUAUAGUUUGUAUUAUUCAGUACACAUAUCUAUUAAAUAAUAGUGUAACAAGUUUUACAUCAGAGUAAUACUGUAUAUAAAAUGGUCGGAAACGUUAUUCCUAAACGAGGCUUAAUUGGGGUUAGAACGUAAACAAAAAAUAAUAUUGUGAAUUUUACUCUUAGUUUUUAUGUGUUUUACUUCAUUUAUUGUAAGAAAUUCUUUGCUAAUUUCUGUUUGUAUAUAAAUUUGUUUCUUAAAUUAAUAUCUUUGAUUUUAUUAUUUUAAAAGUGAUGUUAUUAUUCUUCAGAAUACUGAAACGUUUUAGCUGAUAUUUUGGACUUUUAUCCUAUUUCAACAAUUAAUCAUGUAUAAGUUGUCAAAUCUGAUAGAAGAGAUUAACAUUGUUUUUCAAAACAAGUUUGAAAACGCAAUUUAGUUUAAAUACAAUCUAUAUAUGACGGCAAAAUUCUUUGAAAGAAAAUGUAUGAAAUGAUUAUAAUACCUAAAAAGUGAAUAAGUAAAUAUUUCAUAAAAUAAUGAACCAGGAAAUAAACUUUACAGAAGGCAUUUAUUAUACAUAUAUGUACAAUGGGUUUCAAAGGAAGAUUAACUUUGUACAUUGCAUCACAAUGCCACACUUGGCCGAACACAUGAACGCGGAUUCUAAUCCCGUAUCCAAGACGAAUAUAAAAUAUAAAUAAUGUUAAAAAAGAAUACAUUUCGCGCAUACAGUUAAAUGCAUAUUCGCAAAUAAGUUAGAUUACAUAUAAAAACAUGCAAAUACUUUUUAGAUCACAUGUAUCGAGAUCCAAAAAUAGGAUGUAAAAAAUGCACAACACACCUUACAAAAUAUAAGUACUAUAUAUUUUUUUCAUUUUCCGCCCUUCUCAUACAUUCAGAGAAAAAUAUUCACACACCAAAAAGCAAUACUUAUUUUUAUGAUUAAUUAGUUAUAUGUGAACCGAUAAUAUGUGGGACACCAUCCCAAAUAUCCUUAAGAAUGUGUCUUAAAAAAACUUUUACUACAAUAAAUAUUAUUCAGUCUGCUGUGAAUCCGGAAUUGCUACAAAGGAAGAAGGCCAUUUUUCUGCUGAUUCGUUUAGCCUACAACUGUACUCGUACUUCCCAUUGCGGCAUUUCGGUAUACAGACAUACGACAUUUAAGAAGCCAUGGAACUCAAUGUGAAGGACGAUCGCUACAGAAGAGUUAUUUUGCAAAACAAAAGACAAAAGAAGGUCAGAACAAUAGGAAGAAGAGUACGCUUUUUAAACCGCCACAACAAGACGUGUCGCAAUAACCACAGCAAAGCUUCCCGAGCAUUUCCCGUUUCCUACAUACGUACAUAUUUUCCAUUAACAAGCGACGAUCGGCCUUGCUGCCAUAACUGAAUAUACUUCUGUCUUUCCCCUUUUCGGGCAUUGCGCAAAGAAAUCACCGAAUCAAAAAAACGGCCGAGGACUUCAGCGUUAUUUAUGAAUCGUAAAACUAAUCCUGUUUAGGAAUUUCAUUGGCUCCCUAUUGUUGGGAAGCUGCGAUUCAUGCAAAAACAUACGUGCUGAGAUAUUCGUGGCCUUGGCUGGGAAAUUUAGGAUAGAUUCUUUUCAUUUUAUCACACCUAUGUCAUUUUUCUAUUGCGUAUAGCCAAUAGUUUUCAAGCCAAACAUUUGAAUGAAAUAUCCAGUAUUCUGAACGCCAUUUUGUAGAGUAAAAUGA